Long non-coding RNA from Cyprinodon tularosa, 436 nucleotides. RefSeq lists it as uncharacterized. The record is from RefSeq and is a predicted model, not a curated record. The transcript is spliced from 3 exons. Lineage: Eukaryota; Metazoa; Chordata; Actinopteri; Cyprinodontiformes; Cyprinodontidae.
GCGCGAUAUUUCUGGAAAUAUCGCGAGUUGUUUUCAACCCCCUCCCCUCUGGAAGAUUCUUUUCGCGCCUUUGGACGGAGUGAAUGUUAGAGCUGGUAUUUUUCCUGGACAAAGUGGAAUAAAAGAACAAGUUUUCUGCUGUAAAGCAUGCUGCCAUUUGCUGUUGUUGAUUUUCUGGAUGGUGGGGGUGUAUCCAUUGUUCCUUGCAAGUGGUUUACAGGACCAGCAGAAGACUCUUGUUUCUGGCCACCAGGGAGAGUAAAUAUCAACAAGGUGGUAAGGGAUGAAAUCUCUCCAAAUACAGACUGGCCACAGUACAGAGUUCGCAUCUUGGGGAAAGCUGAGAGCUAUGAAAGUGCCAGAGUAAAACUGCGGAGGUCUGAGACAACAUCUGAUCUGCAGACCGAGUCAGAUUCUGGAGGGAGAUUGGGAAAAG